ACUACCAAUUAUUAGCGGACCGGAGUUCCGCUGUGGCGACCCCUAACUGGGAAAAGUCGAAAGACACAAACAUUAAAUCCCCCCAUGUGUGAAUUCUGGAAACAGUUUCUUGAUCAUUUACCUACUUGAAUUUUCUUCAAAUACAUUUCAGAAUUAUCUAAAGUGUAGUACCUAAAUGGUUACAUUCCAUUUUAAUGUCCUUUUUUAAAAGGAAGACUUUACCCUCCAAGUUUUUCUCCUUCAUAAUAUUUCCUAGAUGGUUAGUGCUGAGAACAUUCAUUUUUUUUGGGGGGGGGGUUCAGUUGCAUCUUUGACACAGGCCACUAAGAUCCCACAACUGUUUACAGGUUCAGAAUAGCAGUCGCCCACAGCUUUACAUCCAGAGGCUGUAGUCGGCUGCUGUGAAUGGCCAGUUGGCCAUUUUUUUCAAAGUUGGAUGAAUCUUUGCAUGAAAGAGACCAGUUGUAUUGCAACAUCUGCAUAAUCUGGUAGUUCAUACUUUAUUAAACCGUUAAUCCAUGUGAUUAUAUAAUUAAGUACAUUGGAAACUGUAGGCAGCUGGCAUUUGCCUUACUAGGCUAAAGCAUGACAACUCAAACUAUAGCUAGACAAAAAAAGACCAAACAUACCAUUUCUCAUUGAGGGCUACAGCUUUGAACACCUGAAAUUCUGCUUUUUAAUCUUUUGUAUUAAAAUCUCAAAUGGAACAUGUCUGUCUUUAACCUGCUUACAGCAUGUAAAGAUCAGAGUGCUUCAGUUCUUGGCAUGAUUUCUAAUGCAGCAGUACUGCACAAAAGAGACUAAAAAUUUAGUUACAGGGUGGCUUUUUCCAUGAAGGAAUAGCUGGUUUAAGGGAAUUGAGUGCCUCCCAUUGGAGAAAUUGGUGUUAUGGUUCUCUUGACGCGUAGGAUGUUCAGGAGUAAAUAGUGCGAGCAGACUGAUUUUUAGUCUGGAAAACUGAAUAGCUCUGAUGCCAUGGGACAAUAAGUUUCCCUGUGUCCUUAAAUGUCACAGUUGUGGAAGCUUCUGAGCUACUGUCUAGUAAUGCAAGUUUCAUUUUGGUUUCGGGUCUGUUGUAGAGACCUAGUCUUGGCAGUAGUAAUGGUAUGACUGAAACACUAAUGCACUUCAGGGAAGGUUUAAAUACAGGAACCUUUCCUUUAGCACUUCUGCCUUAAGUCCUGCCCAAGGGCAUGUAUUAUGGAUAUUUAAUGAAGUAUGUGUUGCUUUUUGUGCCUCUUUGCUCUUCAGUCAGUUUUUAUAAUGAAAUGGUGGUUAUCAGAAUGUGUCGCUGCCUCACUUUAAUAGCAACAAAAUCACACCAGGCCACACAAACAUUCUGAUACAAUGGCUUAAAUGCCUAAUCCUGUAAAACAUUGCAGUGUCAGCUUCACUUUGGUCUGACAAAUCUAUUCUUUUCUGCACACUUUUGUUUUACACUAAAAAGCCAGUAUGUGUCUAUAAAUUCUGUUCACUUCUGAGCCGUUUUUGAAAUUACUUGAAUAUUAACUGUUGAGCUGAGAGUUUAAUAUGUGUAAACUUUUUACUGACAAUGUCUGCUAAAUCCUUACUUGAUAACAUUUUUUAAUUUUUGGAAAUAAUUAUGUGCAGGUUUAUAACUGCUGGUAAGCACUAACCUCUGAAUUUUUUUUAUUGUAAGUUAUUUUAUACUGUAAAAAUUUCAACAGAUUAAAAGCUAUAUCUGCUCCAA
This is a long non-coding RNA of Protopterus annectens (West African lungfish), 1711 nucleotides long. RefSeq lists it as uncharacterized. The transcript is spliced from 2 exons. Lineage: Eukaryota; Metazoa; Chordata; Ceratodontiformes; Protopteridae. The record is from RefSeq and is a predicted model, not a curated record.